This 345-nucleotide unclassified non-coding RNA is filed under the name soil metagenome. RNAcentral describes it as "partial contains 5.8S ribosomal RNA, internal transcribed spacer 2, and large subunit ribosomal RNA". The stretch from base 1 to 119 matches the Rfam family "5.8S ribosomal RNA", at positions 35 to 154 of the family's 154-position model. The record is from RNAcentral.
GAUGAAGAACGCAGCGAAAUGCGAUACGUAAUGUGAAUUGCAAAUUCAGUGAAUCAUCGAGUCUUUGAACGCACAUUGCGCCCCCUGGUAUUCCGGGGUGCAUGCCUGUCCGAGCGUCAUUGCUGCCCUCAAGCACGGCUGGUGUGUUGGGCCCCGUCCUCCGAUCCCGGGGGACGGGCCCGAAAGGCAGCGGCGGCACCGCGUCCGGUCCUCGAGCGUAUGGGGCUUUGUCACCCGCUCUGUAGGCCCGGCCGGCGCUUGCCGAUCAACCCAAAUUUUUAUCCAGGUUGACCUCGGAUCAGGUAGGGAUACCCGCUGAACUUAAGCAUAUCAAUAAGCGGAGGA